RNAcentral lists this small RNA (150 nucleotides) under Escherichia coli. RNAcentral describes it as "RtT sRNA". It matches the Rfam family "RtT RNA". Rfam says of the family: This family represents a bacterial cis-regulatory element known as RtT RNA. The exact function of RtT is unknown although it is thought that it may be involved in changing the cellular response in relation to amino acid starvation. Lineage: Bacteria; Pseudomonadati; Pseudomonadota; Gammaproteobacteria; Enterobacterales; Enterobacteriaceae. The record is from RNAcentral.
UAGCUCAGUUGGUAGAGCAGUUGACUUUUAAUCAAUUGGUCGCAGGUUCGAACGCUAAGGUGGAAGCGGUAGUAAAACGUGAAGGAUAACGUUGCAUCAGCAACGGCCCGAAGGGCGAGACGAAGUCGAAUCAUCCUGCACGACCCACCA